RNAcentral lists this small RNA (124 nucleotides) under Marmota monax (woodchuck). Lineage: Eukaryota; Metazoa; Chordata; Mammalia; Rodentia; Sciuridae. The record is from RNAcentral.
GCCAGGCACAGUGGUGUAUGCCUGUAAUCCCAGCAGCUAAAGAGGCUGAGAUAGGAGGAUUGCCAGUUCAAAGCCAUCCUUAGUAACCUCAGGCACUAAGCAAUUGACUGAGACCCUGUCUCUA